GGUUAAGCGACUAAGCGUACACGGUGGAUGCCCUGGCAGUCAGAGGCGAUGAAGGACGUGCUAAUCUGCGAUAAGCGUCGGUAAGGUGAUAUGAACCGUUAUAACCGGCGAUUUCCGAAUGGGGAAACCCAGUGUGUUUCGACACACUAUCAUUAACUGAAUCCAUAGGUUAAUGAGGCGAACCGGGGGAACUGAAACAUCUAAGUACCCCGAGGAAAAGAAAUCAACCGAGAUUCCCCCAGUAGCGGCGAGCGAACGGGGAGCAGCCCAGAGCCUGAAUCAGUGUGUGUGUUAGUGGAAGCGUCUGGAAAGGCGCGCGAUACAGGGUGACAGCCCCGUACACAAAAAUGCACAUGCUGUGAGCUCGAUGAGUAGGGCGGGACACGUGGUAUCCUGUCUGAAUAUGGGGGGACCAUCCUCCAAGGCUAAAUACUCCUGACUGACCGAUAGUGAACCAGUACCGUGAGGGAAAGGCGAAAAGAACCCCGGCGAGGGGAGUGAAAAAGAACCUGAAACCGUGUACGUACAAGCAGUGGGAGCACGCUUAGGCGUGUGACUGCGUACCUUUUGUAUAAUGGGUCAGCGACUUAUAUUCUGUAGCAAGGUUAACCGAAUAGGGGAGCCGAAGGGAAACCGAGUCUUAACUGGGCGUUAAGUUGCAGGGUAUAGACCCGAAACCCGGUGAUCUAGCCAUGGGCAGGUUGAAGGUUGGGUAACACUAACUGGAGGACCGAACCGACUAAUGUUGAAAAAUUAGCGGAUGACUUGUGGCUGGGGGUGAAAGGCCAAUCAAACCGGGAGAUAGCUGGUUCUCCCCGAAAGCUAUUUAGGUAGCGCCUCGUGAAUUCAUCUCCGGGGGUAGAGCACUGUUUCGGCAAGGGGGUCAUCCCGACUUACCAACCCGAUGCAAACUGCGAAUACCGGAGAAUGUUAUCACGGGAGACACACGGCGGGUGCUAACGUCCGUCGUGAAGAGGGAAACAACCCAGACCGCCAGCUAAGGUCCCAAAGUCAUGGUUAAGUGGGAAACGAUGUGGGAAGGCCCAGACAGCCAGGAUGUUGGCUUAGAAGCAGCCAUCAUUUAAAGAAAGCGUAAUAGCUCACUGGUCGAGUCGGCCUGCGCGGAAGAUGUAACGGGGCUAAACCAUGCACCGAAGCUGCGGCAGCGACGCUGAUGCGUUGUUGGGUAGGGGAGCGUUCUGUAAGCCUGCGAAGGUGUGCUGUGAGGCAUGCUGGAGGUAUCAGAAGUGCGAAUGCUGACAUAAGUAACGAUAAAGCGGGUGAAAAGCCCGCUCGCCGGAAGACCAAGGGUUCCUGUCCAACGUUAAUCGGGGCAGGGUGAGUCGACCCCUAAGGCGAGGCCGAAAGGCGUAGUCGAUGGGAAACAGGUUAAUAUUCCUGUACUUGGUGUUACUGCGAAGGGGGGACGGAGAAGGCUAUGUUGGCCGGGCGACGGUUGUCCCGGUUUAAGCGUGUAGGCUGGUUUUCCAGGCAAAUCCGGAAAAUCAAGGCUGAGGCGUGAUGACGAGGUACUACGGUGCUGAAGCAACAAAUGCCCUGCUUCCAGGAAAAGCCUCUAAGCAUCAGGUAACAUCAAAUCGUACCCCAAACCGACACAGGUGGUCAGGUAGAGAAUACCAAGGCGCUUGAGAGAACUCGGGUGAAGGAACUAGGCAAAAUGGUGCCGUAACUUCGGGAGAAGGCACGCUGAUAUGUAGGUGAAGUCCCUUGCGGAUGGAGCUGAAAUCAGUCGAAGAUACCAGCUGGCUGCAACUGUUUAUUAAAAACACAGCACUGUGCAAACACGAAAGUGGACGUAUACGGUGUGACGCCUGCCCGGUGCCGGAAGGUUAAUUGAUGGGGUCAGCGCAAGCGAAGCUCUUGAUCGAAGCCCCGGUAAACGGCGGCCGUAACUAUAACGGUCCUAAGGUAGCGAAAUUCCUUGUCGGGUAAGUUCCGACCUGCACGAAUGGCGUAAUGAUGGCCAGGCUGUCUCCACCCGAGACUCAGUGAAAUUGAACUCGCUGUGAAGAUGCAGUGUACCCGCGGCAAGACGGAAAGACCCCGUGAACCUUUACUAUAGCUUGACACUGAACAUUGAGCCUUGAUGUGUAGGAUAGGUGGGAGGCUUGGAAGUGUGGACGCCAGUCUGCAUGGAGCCGACCUUGAAAUACCACCCUUUAAUGUUUGAUGUUCUAACGUUGACCCGUAAUCCGGGUUGCGGACAGUGUCUGGUGGGUAGUUUGACUGGGGCGGUCUCCUCCUAAAGAGUAACGGAGGAGCACGAAGGUUGGCUAAUCCUGGUCGGACAUCAGGAGGUUAGUGCAAUGGCAUAAGCCAGCUUGACUGCGAGCGUGACGGCGCGAGCAGGUGCGAAAGCAGGUCAUAGUGAUCCGGUGGUUCUGAAUGGAAGGGCCAUCGCUCAACGGAUAAAAGGUACUCCGGGGAUAACAGGCUGAUACCGCCCAAGAGUUCAUAUCGACGGCGGUGUUUGGCACCUCGAUGUCGGCUCAUCACAUCCUGGGGCUGAAGUAGGUCCCAAGGGUAUGGCUGUUCGCCAUUUAAAGUGGUACGCGAGCUGGGUUUAGAACGUCGUGAGACAGUUCGGUCCCUAUCUGCCGUGGGCGCUGGAGAACUGAGGGGGGCUGCUCCUAGUACGAGAGGACCGGAGUGGACGCAUCACUGGUGUUCGGGUUGUCAUGCCAAUGGCACUGCCCGGUAGCUAAAUGCGGAAGAGAUAAGUGCUGAAAGCAUCUAAGCACGAAACUUGCC
RNAcentral lists this ribosomal RNA (2772 nucleotides) under Escherichia coli. RNAcentral describes it as "partial 23S ribosomal RNA". It matches the Rfam family "Bacterial large subunit ribosomal RNA". The record is from RNAcentral. Lineage: Bacteria; Pseudomonadati; Pseudomonadota; Gammaproteobacteria; Enterobacterales; Enterobacteriaceae.